GUAAGGUUUCAUAUUUCGCGCCCAAAGUCCGAGCUUACGUUUUGCACUCUGUGCACUCUACGUACACUCUUUCAAGUCCAGGAACUUUACUCAGCUGACCCAGCUCUUGAAAAUUUCCUGUUAGUACAGCGUCGAUAAUAAUUGCGCAGUAUGUACGGACAAUAUUAUAAAUAUUUUGGUCGUUGUUACAAUGUCCUCAACAAUUGUAUUAUAUUAGAAAUUUUUUGCCACAGCAUGUUGAAUAUAAAGUUUUGCUAGAGCAGCAUAUUUUUAUGUGAAAGCACUGUUAAGCCAAGCAGCACAGUCUUAUUUGACAGUAGGAACCACAAUACAAGGAAAGACAAAUAUCAUAAUGGCCAGCCACUCACACGAUAUAGUAAAUGUGCAGGAGAUAGCGGAGUUGGUUCAACUUCUUCGCCAAAAUGGUGACGAAGUUCUGAGCGCUUCUAGUAAGCUCUCUCUGUCGACGAAAUUGCUGCACAAUCUGAACGAAGCCUUCUCGCUCAUCGUAGUAGAAUCUGAAGAUCUGGAUUCUUCGUUUCACGUGUGUAACAGCUCCAAAAUAGAUAUAUUUCGCGACGUGAAGUUUCUACAUGAUUUUGUGCAAAAGACUAUUGGUUUAAAAGUGACGCAUUGUCCUUCCGACACCAAAGUUGCCAUCGACAUCUCCAAGUUUAGGCACCUGAAGUAUUUGGAGUUGAAGAAGGUGUCUGUCGAAUUAUUAAAAGGUCUGCAGAGUGUUAGGGGCCAGUUAGAAAGUAUUAUGUGUACUGGUAGCAAAGGAGUCUCCACGAUCAAUCAGUUGUUAGUCACAUGCGGUGGUGACGCUGGCGCUGGAUUUGUAUGGGCAUCUCUAAAACACUUGGUACUGUCUCACAAUGCCCUUGAGUGUUUGGAUGAGUCAUUGGAAUUAGCGCCUUGGCUUCAGACGUUGGACUUGAGUCAUAAUAUGAUUGCUAACGCCAAGGAGAUAUCUCGCUUAUCAAACUUGAAGUAUGUCAAUCUAGGCUACAACAAACUGGAGGAAGUACCCAUGUUUAAUAAAACAGCAUUGCAUUCGUUGCAAGUAUUGGUGUUGAAAAACAAUUACAUCGAUAAUUUAAAUGGUCUUCAAGGUUUAGAAUGUCUAACAGAAUUAGACUUAUCAUAUAAUUGUUUAAUGGACCAUUCAGUUCUAUGGCCACUUGAGAAAAUGUCUACUCUAUUGUGGGUAUCCUUGGAAGGAAAUCCCUUAUCAUAUCAUUCGAAACAUCGAAUGUUAUGUACAAAACAUUUACAUUCGAGUUUAUCGAACAGCAAGUUUGUUCUAGAUCAUUUGCCGCUUUCAAGAUCAGAAAAGAUGCUGAUUGCGGAAAAUCAAGUUUUCACGAUACGUACAGAUCGAUCCGCAUCUCUAACCAGCUCGAUAUCUACCUGCGUGGAUAUGUAUGAUAGCCGUGAAAGUGAGGUGGAUCAACAAACAGCAUUAAGCAACAGUCUGGAAAAGAGCAUAACAAAAAGCAAAAAAAAGUCAAACGUGAGAGAAGCUAUUAUCGCCGAAAUUGAUCAAGAAAAGGAAGAGCUCAAAAUACUACCUGAUGUAGUAGCGUCAUCUCAUUUGGAGUCACCAAAAGAUUAUUUGGAGACGAAGAAACGCAUCUUAGCCUUACGAGAGAAGUAUGGAGAGGAUAAUUGGUUAAGGAGUCACGCUGGAACUUCCGUCCAGGAUAUUAUGGGUCUGCAGUCUGCCUCGCAACCGACAUCCAAUAUACAGACUUUGGCUGACAUUAAUGUAGCAUCAUCUUUUUACGAUACCCUGAUUUACACAAUGGGCAACGAACAACUCACCGGCGAGACUGAGUCGCAAGAAGUCGCAGAACAGCCGGAAAAUAUUCUUCAGGAUGAAGAAAGUUUACUGGAUGAACCUGUGGAAACAAACACGGCUUCUUCCGUGACUACGUUUGAUGAUUUGAAUGAAGAGGCUGGAGAUUUAUAUACCGUUCAAAAAAGAAAAAACGAGAGCGAGAUGGAGGAUGUUUUCCUGAUAAUAACUGCUGAAGAAAUCAAGGAAAGAGACAUAAUUACUGGAAAAUUAAAAUACAGUUGGUCGAUGAAUUCCGUACUGUCCUGCGUCCUAGGUAGGAGCGAUCCACCCACAGUCGAUAUUAUCUUUGACACAACUAGGAAAGAUAGGGAGAACAGGCGAUAUUUCGCCGAACCAGAAGAUGCGAAGAAAGUCGUGGCAACGAUCAACGAACGGAUCGAGAUGCGACCGAUUCUAUUGAAGGUUUUCAAGUGCAUGAAAUGUUCGACACAGUUUUCGCAGGAUGCGGACUACGUGAUGCUCACUGUCAAGUCGCUGGCAGGCGCAAAACAGCUCAAAUGUCCCACUUGUGACAGCAGUUUGGUCAUCGAGAUAGAGACUUCACCUAACGUGGAUAAUCAGACCGUAAAGAGUUCUCAGCCAGCGGAGAAUGCCGCCAAGAUCAACCUGCAACAUUCUGAAUCAUUCUCCAGUAUCGGUGGAAUGGAGGGUGGAGCUAAAUCCGUCACCACUUCUCUGGUGCACUCCGACUCUCACACCCAAGCUCAAGUCUGCUGUUCAGCGACGAGUUUAGAAGAAUCGAGGGAGUCCACGCCGUCUGCAAAUGCCACGACGAAAAAAUAUGAGAGCGACAUAGAAAUACUCAGUAACCCAAGUCAAAGCAGCAUCGAGGUUUUAGAUGAAACGCAAAAAGCGAACAAUACACCAAGUCGAAAGCGCUCAACGGAAGAGAAACGUACCGCAAUUGCCCCUUCUUUAAUAACAAUUCCGGAUGCAACACCAAUGAUGGCAGGCUUGACGGAAAGUAGUUCUUCGGGUUCAUUGACAGAUAGCAUAUGUACGACAUAUGAAAAUAAAAUGACCAAAUCUAUGAACAUUGAUGCAAAAUCUCAUAAUAGCGAAGACGAAAGAGAGACUACACUCGCUUCUGCGACAAAUCUGACGUCGAUGUUAGGAGGUUUACUUCAGAGCAUCAAGAUUGGUAGUAACAAAACUUUGAAGGGGGAGGAGGCAUCGAACUUUGUACCCUCUGGAAGCUAUGUGCAAUAUUCAUAUACCGAUUUUAGCAGUGUAGAUCAUAGAAUUAAGCUGCAUAUCAUCCUGAAUGUAUUCGAGCACGAAAACGAGGAGCUAGUCCUUCUUCUCAGGGCGGAGAUCCUGAUGCAAUCUAUGCAAGAGACAUUUCCUGGAUGCUUAGUAUUAUCCACAUCCAAGGUUUAUGUUCUUAGAAUUGACGGACCGGAAGGGGAGGACCCACAGCGCUGGCUUCAUAAAGAGGUCAGCUGGACGAUGGACAGACUGAGAUCUUUCGUAGCGUUGCCAUUCAAGCAGGGCGUUUUGAUUGAGCUGCAACAGCCUGGCAAAAUCGGCGAAGAGCACCUCACUAUCACGUUGCUCUGUAUUUUGCAGGAUUUCCAGCGAACGUCGAACUUUUUAUUUUAUAUUACAGAUUUACAAUUGCCUCCGAGUUGCGAGGUGGAGUUCUCCAUACCAGAACACUGUAGCGCCUUGAUGCACAAUCUGUUAAUGAGUACUGCCAAUUAUCAGGCCGAAGACUCCGUGCGAUUGCUAGCAAUGUUUUCUUCCGCGGUCUUGAAAUAUCAGAAUAUCACCACUAAGCUGAAAUUAUCUGGCUUGGUAUUAACGAGUUCGGCGCUGGUGAUACUGGAAGACAACGUUCAAUGGUUUAUACCAGGCAGCAAUCGCGUACCUCUAGCCGCUAGAGAACAAGCUAUGAGCAAUUUAAUUGCGAUAGAACACUGUGACACUUCGUUGACUUUGAAUUUUUUGGAUGAGGUUGCGGGCCUCGAGGAGACUUGGAUCCUGGAAUUCAUAUCUCCUGGUGCUGUUGAAGCUGUAAUCAAUUCUAUACAGCCUCCAUGGGAAGCGUUAUUCUCAAUACCCUUGCAGGUUGAACUCUUGAAGAAUUGAAGAGAAUACACUUACAAGAGUUUUAUUCAAAAGGCCAGUCUAGCGGAUAUUUGGGAAUUUUCUUCCUUCUUGCUGACUUUUUAGCCAAAUGAUAUUAUCUGCAAUGCAAUCCCUUUUGCGCUCGCGCGAAUUAAAACUUUCAAGUCUGUGUAGUAGUUACACUUAAUCACUUCUGAUGAUAGACGUCCAACUGUGAUAUGUAUAUCGAAUUUUACAAUAAAUAUUGCGAGACUCAGAUAUUUACUGUAGAUAUUUAUAUGGAGAAUAUUGUAAUUUAUAUUUUGUAAUAAAGCGUGAUGUAAAUAUAACUAUGUUA
Molecule: unclassified non-coding RNA, 4271 nt
Filed under: Ooceraea biroi (clonal raider ant)
Lineage: Eukaryota; Metazoa; Arthropoda; Insecta; Hymenoptera; Formicidae
Description: serine/threonine-protein kinase 11-interacting protein, transcript variant X2
Source: RNAcentral